RNAcentral lists this ribosomal RNA (497 nucleotides) under uncultured bacterium. RNAcentral's name for it is "partial 16S ribosomal RNA". It matches the Rfam family "Bacterial small subunit ribosomal RNA", at positions 28 to 507 of the family's 1533-position model. The record is from RNAcentral.
GAUGAACGCUGGCGGCGUGCCUAAUACAUGCAAGUCGAGCGAACGGACGAGAAGCUUGCUUUUCUGAUGUUAGCGGCGGACGGGUGAGUAACACGUGGAUAACCUACCUAUAAGACUGGGAUAACUUCGGGAAACCGGAGCUAAUACCGGAUAAUAUUUUGAACCGCAUGGUUCAAAAGUGAAAGACGGUCUUGCUGUCACUUAUAGAUGGAUCCGCGCUGCAUUAGCUAGUUGGUAAGGUAACGGCUUACCAAGGCAACGAUGCAUAGCCGACCUGAGAGGGUGAUCGGCCACACUGGAACUAAGACACGGUCCAGACUCCUACGGGAGGCAGCAGUAGGGAAUCUUCCGCAAUGGGCGAAAGCCUGACGGAGCAACGCCGCGUGAGUGAUGAAGGUCUUCGGAUCGUAAAACUCUGUUAUUAGGGAAGAGCAUAUGUGUAAGUAACUGUGCACAUCUUGACGGUACCUAAUCAGAAAGCCACGGCUAACUACGUG